This 324-nucleotide unclassified non-coding RNA is filed under the name uncultured fungus. RNAcentral's name for it is "partial contains 5.8S ribosomal RNA, internal transcribed spacer 2, and large subunit ribosomal RNA". The stretch from base 1 to 52 matches the Rfam family "5.8S ribosomal RNA", at positions 103 to 154 of the family's 154-position model. Lineage: Eukaryota; Fungi. The record is from RNAcentral.
AACGCACCUUGCGCUCGCUGGUAUUCCGGCGAGCAUGCCUGUUUGAGUGUCAUGAACUCUUCAACCCUUCGGUUCCUUGUUGAACUCGUGAGGUGUUUGGAUUUUGAGCGGUUGCUGGUCUUUUCGGAGAUGAAGCUCGUUCGUAAUACAUUAGCAAACUAAACCCGAAUUGUUCGGAUUGACUCGGCGUAAUAGACUUUAUUCGCUGAGGACACCUCUAGUGGGUGGCCGAAUAUCGAGAUAUAGUAGCUUCUAACUCUACAAUUUGAAGUCAAAUUUAUAAGAUUAGACCUCAGAUCAGGCAGGACUACCCGCUGAACUUAA